AUGGCCAGCUUCAGACACCUUUUCAUUCACCGAUUCCUUCAUCUUGCACAUAAAGAGACCAAAGGUCAGCCCUGAUGUAAGGAUGGUGAAACACGCCUCCCGCCCCAGCCUCGCCCUGGCUGCACCACGCAUGCGCACUCAGGUGAGCAGUAAAGCGUGGAAUCAGAGUAGUUCUUGCUGAAAGAAAGGGGAGAGAAAACCUUCAGGAGAGUCACUUCCCCAUGAGGCUCAUGCCUUCCCGUCACCCCUAACCUCCUGCAAGUGCAACAGUCUCCUCAUGGACUUCCACACCAUCACCCCCUCACUUCAGCCCAGCUUCCCUACCAUCUAAAAUUGAACCCCACCUUGAAACCCUUGGUUAUGAAACUUUUAUUAGAAUGGAAAUAAAAACAAGGAGAAUUUUUAAAAGUACAGUCCUCAGUGCUGAAGAGGAUACUGUGAAACAGGUAAUCUCAUUUAUUGCUACUAGAAAUGCCAUUUGAAGAACACUUUUAGAAUGCAGUUUAAGGAUACAUAACAAGAGCUUAAAUAUAUCAUCUUUGACCCAGUAAUUCCAUUUCUGAGGAGCUAAGGAAAUAAUCCCGUUUAUGGAAGUUAUAUACAGAGAUAGUUAUUACAUCAUUAUUUAUGUAGAGAAAAAUUGGAAAUAAUGUAACUAGAUUACGAUAGAAGUAAUAUAUGAUACUGAUGGUCUGUUAUACAGUCAUUACAAAUGAUGUUUGCUUAUAGAAAAAAGACAAAAUAAAAUACACCAA
RNAcentral lists this long non-coding RNA (755 nucleotides) under Dasypus novemcinctus (nine-banded armadillo). Its description in RNAcentral is "lncRNA (ENSDNOG00000051229.1)". The record is from RNAcentral. Lineage: Eukaryota; Metazoa; Chordata; Mammalia; Cingulata; Dasypodidae.